ACUCGUUUAGUUUAUUAAUAAAAUAUAACUCUGAAGAAGUUAAGAAGUUUUUGAGUGUUGAAAAGUG
Molecule: transfer RNA, 67 nt
Filed under: Gnathostoma sp. MMS-2017
Lineage: Eukaryota; Metazoa; Nematoda; Chromadorea; Rhabditida; Gnathostomatidae
Description: tRNA-Phe
Source: RNAcentral